RNAcentral lists this ribosomal RNA (465 nucleotides) under uncultured bacterium. RNAcentral describes it as "partial 16S ribosomal RNA". It matches the Rfam family "Bacterial small subunit ribosomal RNA", at positions 28 to 507 of the family's 1533-position model. The record is from RNAcentral.
GACGAACGCUGGCGGCGUGCUUAACACAUGCAAGUCGAACGGAAAGGCCCUGCUUGCAGGGUACUCGAGUGGCGAACGGGUGAGUAACACGUGGGUGAUCUGCCCUGCACUUCGGGAUAAGCCUGGGAAACUGGGUCUAAUACCGGAUAGGAGCCAUUUUUAGUGUGAUGGUUGGAAAGUUUUUUCGGUGUAGGAUGAGCUCGCGGCCUAUCAGCUUGUUGGUGGGGUAAUGGCCUACCAAGGCGGCGACGGGUAGCCGGCCUGAGAGGGUGGACGGCCACAGUGGGACUGAGAUACAGCCCAGACUCCUACGGGAGGCAGCAGUGGGGAAUAUUGCACAAUGGGCGCAAGCCUGAUGCAGCGACGCCGCGUGGGGGAUGACGGCCUUCGGGUUGUAAACUCCUUUCGCUAGGGACGAAGCUUUUUGUGACGGUACCUAGAUAAGAAGCACCGGCUAACUACGUG